AGGCAGGGGGAGGUGAGGUGAGGUCUGGGGUGGAGCAGGGAGGAAGGGGAUGGCGAUGGACCAGCGGCGGCGACCGGAAGGAUGGCAGGAGGAAGCUAAUCGGCUGAUUUGGAUUUGAUUAGUUGAAGCUAUACUGUCGGGGGAUUCUCAAUCCACCAAAUAAGGUGCUCUUUCUCUCUAAUCACCGGUGUUGUGAAAGA
RNAcentral lists this long non-coding RNA (200 nucleotides) under Oryza brachyantha (malo sina). Its description in RNAcentral is "long non-coding RNA (OBRA_LNC000597)". Lineage: Eukaryota; Viridiplantae; Streptophyta; Magnoliopsida; Poales; Poaceae. The record is from RNAcentral.